CCUACGGGAGGCAGCAGUGGGGAAUAUUGCACAAUGGGCGCAAGCCUGAUGCAGCGACGCCGCGUGAGGGAUGAAGGCCUUCGGGUUGUAAACCUCUUUCAGUAGGGAAGAAGCCGGCCUUUUGGGUUGGUGACGGUACCUGCAGAAGAAGCGCCGGCUAACUACGUGCCAGCAGCCGCGGUAAUACGUAGGGCGCAAGCGUUAUCCGGAAUUAUUGGGCGUAAAGAGCUCGUAGGCGGUUUGUCGCGUCUGCCGUGAAAGUCCGGGGCUUAACUCCGGAUCUGCGGUGGGUACGGGCAGACUAGAGUGCAGUAGGGGAGACUGGAAUUCCUGGUGUAGCGGUGAAAUGCGCAGAUAUCAGGAGGAACACCGAUGGCGAAGGCAGGUCUCUGGGCUGUAACUGACGCUGAGGAGCGAAAGCAUGGGGAGCGAACAGGAUUAGAUACCCUGGUAGUCCAUGCCGUAAACGUUGGGCACUAGGUGUGGGGGACAUUCCACGUUUUCCGCGCCGUAGCUAACGCAUUAAGUGCCCCGCCUGGGGAGUACGGCCGCAAGGCUAAAACUCAAAGGAAUUGACGGGGGCCCGCACAAGCGGCGGAGCAUGCGGAUUAAUUCGAUGCAACGCGAAGAACCUUAC
RNAcentral lists this ribosomal RNA (637 nucleotides) under uncultured Arthrobacter sp. RNAcentral describes it as "bacterial SSU rRNA". It matches the Rfam family "Bacterial small subunit ribosomal RNA", at positions 338 to 974 of the family's 1533-position model. Lineage: Bacteria; Bacillati; Actinomycetota; Actinomycetes; Micrococcales; Micrococcaceae. The record is from RNAcentral.